CAGUCGAACGAAGAUAUAAGGCGGAAUUCUUCGGGAGGAAGCCGUAUAUGACUUAGUGGCGGACGGGUGAGUAACGCGUGAGUAACCUGCCUUACACAGGGGGACAACAGCUGGAAACGGCUGCUAAUACCGCAUAAGCGCACAGGACCGCAUGGUACGGUGUGAAAAGAUUUAUCGGUGUAAGAUGGACUCGCGUCUGAUUAGUUAGUUGGCGGGGUAACGGCCCACCAAGACAACGAUCAGUAGCCGACUUGAGAGAGUGAUCGGCCACAUUGGGACUGAGACACGGCCCAAACUCCUACGGGAGGCAGCAGUGGGGAAUAUUGCACAAUGGGGGAAACCCUGAUGCAGCGACGCCGCGUGAGCGAAGAAGUAUUUCGGUAUGUAAAGCUCUAUCAGCAAGGAAGAUAAUGACGGUACUUGACUAAGAAGCUCCGGCUAAAUACGUGCCAGCAGCCGCGGUAAUACGUAUGGAGCAAGCGUUAUCCGGAUUUACUGGGUGUAAAGGGAGCGUAGACGGCAUGGCAAGUCUGAUGUGAAAGCCCGGGGCUCAACCCCGGAACUGCAUUGGAAACUGUCGUGCUAGAGUGCAGGAGAGGUAAGCGGAAUUCCUAGUGUAGCGGUGAAAUGCGUAGAUAUUAGGAGGAACACCAGUGGCGAAGGCGGCUUACUGGACUGUAACUGACGUUGAGGCUCGAAAGCGUGGGGAGCAAACAG
RNAcentral lists this ribosomal RNA (717 nucleotides) under uncultured bacterium. RNAcentral's name for it is "bacterial SSU rRNA". It matches the Rfam family "Bacterial small subunit ribosomal RNA", at positions 59 to 775 of the family's 1533-position model. The record is from RNAcentral.